UCUACGGGCGGCAGCAGUGGGGAAUAUUGGACAAUGGGCGAAAGCCUGAUCCAGCCAUGCCGCGUGUGUGAAGAAGGCCUUCGGGUUGUAAAGCACUUUCAGUGGGGAAGAAAGCCUUGGGGCUAAUACCCUCGAGGAAGGACAUCACCCACAGAAGAAGCACCGGCUAACUCCGUGCCAGCAGCCGCGGUAAUACGGAGGGUGCGAGCGUUAAUCGGAAUUACUGGGCGUAAAGCGCGCGUAGGCGGUCUGAUAAGCCGGUUGUGAAAGCCCCGGGCUCAACCUGGGAACGGCAUCCGGAACUGUCAGGCUAGAGUGCAGGAGAGGAAGGUAGAAUUCCCGGUGUAGCGGUGAAAUGCGUAGAGAUCGGGAGGAAUACCAGUGGCGAAGGCGGCCUUCUGGACUGACACUGACGCUGAGGUGCGAAAGCGUGGGUAGCAAACAGGAUUAGAUACCCGGGUAGUC
Molecule: ribosomal RNA, 465 nt
Filed under: Vreelandella stevensii
Lineage: Bacteria; Pseudomonadati; Pseudomonadota; Gammaproteobacteria; Oceanospirillales; Halomonadaceae
Description: partial 16S ribosomal RNA
Rfam family: Bacterial small subunit ribosomal RNA
Source: RNAcentral